RNAcentral lists this transfer RNA (68 nucleotides) under Phrynosoma platyrhinos (Desert horned lizard). Its description in RNAcentral is "tRNA-OTHER". Lineage: Eukaryota; Metazoa; Chordata; Lepidosauria; Squamata; Phrynosomatidae. The record is from RNAcentral.
AGCUUGGUGCAGUGGUUUGAUCACUGACUACAACUCUGGAGACCAGGGUUUGAAUCCCUGCUUGGCCA